Molecule: transfer RNA, 87 nt
Filed under: Puccinia coronata f. sp. avenae
Lineage: Eukaryota; Fungi; Basidiomycota; Pucciniomycetes; Pucciniales; Pucciniaceae
Rfam family: tRNA
About the family: Transfer RNA (tRNA) molecules are approximately 80 nucleotides in length. Their secondary structure includes four short double-helical elements and three loops (D, anti-codon, and T loops). Further hydrogen bonds mediate the characteristic L-shaped molecular structure. tRNAs have two regions of fundamental functional importance: the anti-codon, which is responsible for specific mRNA codon recognition, and the 3' end, to which the tRNAs corresponding amino acid is attached (by aminoacyl-tRNA synthetases). tRNAs cope with the degeneracy of the genetic code in two manners: having more than one tRNA (with a specific anti-codon) for a particular amino acid; and 'wobble' base-pairing, i.e. permitting non-standard base-pairing at the 3rd anti-codon position.
Source: Rfam by way of RNAcentral
GUCUCCGUGGCGCAAUUGGUUAGCGCGUUCGACUGUUAUAGUAUAUAUGCCAUCGAGAGGUUGACAGUUCAAUCCUGUCCGGGGACG